This 254-nucleotide ribosomal RNA is filed under the name uncultured bacterium. RNAcentral describes it as "partial 16S ribosomal RNA". It matches the Rfam family "Bacterial small subunit ribosomal RNA", at positions 524 to 776 of the family's 1533-position model. The record is from RNAcentral.
UACGUAGGAGGCGAGCGUUGUCCGGAAUUACUGGGCGUAAAGAGCGCGUAGGCGGCGCGGUACGACCGCUGUGAAAGCCCCCAGCUCAACUGGGGAGGGUCAGCGGUAACGGCCGUGCUUUGAGUGCAGGAGAGGGAAGUGGAACUCCGGGAGUAGCGGUGAAAUGCGUAGAGACCCGGAGGAACACCAGUGGCGAAGGCGGCUGCCUGGUCUGCGACUGACGCUGUGGCGCGAAAGCUAGGGGAGCAAACGGG